This 1036-nucleotide long non-coding RNA is filed under the name Olea europaea subsp. europaea. Lineage: Eukaryota; Viridiplantae; Streptophyta; Magnoliopsida; Lamiales; Oleaceae. The record is from RNAcentral.
CGUGAGAAAAUGUAAAAACAAGAUGACAGUGGAGAUCCAUAAUAUUUUGUUUGAACCCUAAUUUCCCAAAAUUCAUUUUCAACAAUACAUUCUCUCGAUAAAAUAAUUUUAUAUGUAAAUACAAUUUUUCCUUUUUUUUUUUAACCAUGCAUUCUUCUAAAAUUCACUAUUCCAAAAUCGAUUAACCCCCAAAAAAUGGGGUCAAACAAGGGCUAAAGUUUCCAUUUCUUUGUUGAUGUUGCUGUUUCUUGUGCGCAUGCCAGGGGUGGGCUCUCUCAUAAAGAUAUAUUGCAAUUUAGGUAUGGAAAAGGCAAAGUAUAUUAAAGAAAUGUCUUCUGAAGGAAUCAAUCCUGUGGAUAAAACAUUCAUAAUGCGUAAAUGAAAUAUAAUCUUAAGAUUAAAGUAAUGAUAAAGGAAAUCAGCUAGAUGUGAUUGAAAAGUGAAAUUGAUGACGGACCAUACACUGGGCUUUCUUUUGACAGGUAUUCUUAUUGCAGUUGGGAAUGUCCUGAAAAUAUAACGGCGAAGUUCUAAAAUGAUGUCUUGACUUCUGCAGAUGCUAUUCAAGGGUUUCCCAGAAAAGUGUGAUGCUUUAAAGAAGUUGAGAAUGGGCGUGAUGGAAAGGGUAUCUUCAGCAAGGUGGGCAACCGAGUGGGAGGAAAAUGCUAAGCCCUUAAUAUCUAAGGCAAGUCAACUAUCCUUAAUCUGGAGUUUUCGGUUACUCUCUUCUACAUCUUCUGUUACGAAGUUUUCAAGUGAAACUUAUUCAGGCUUUGAGAUCUUUUUGCCAUUGAUUUAAUCCUAUACUAGAUCACUGAAUCAAUGAUAAUAUGCACUAUUUCAGGUCAUUUCUGAGAACUUCAGCUGAAGGUGCAGGAGUGUAACAUAAAAAAUUUUCGAGUUUGAAAUUUUCUUUAUGCAUUUAUAGGUAGAUAUACCCUAACUCAUCAAGUCUCUGGUCGGGAGGGGACUACUCUUGCUCCCCUGCGGCCCUGCCUGCCCCCUAGAUUUGUUGGGACAGCAUACAAAUUUUUCU